This 482-nucleotide ribosomal RNA is filed under the name uncultured bacterium. Its description in RNAcentral is "bacterial SSU rRNA". It matches the Rfam family "Bacterial small subunit ribosomal RNA", at positions 29 to 524 of the family's 1533-position model. The record is from RNAcentral.
AAUGAACGCUGGCGGCGUGCCUAACACAUGCAAGUCGGAUGUGCCGCAAGGUGCAUGGCAGACGGGUGAGUAACGCGUAGGGAAUCUACCUUUUUGUGGGGAAUAACGUUCCGAAAGGAAUGGUAAUACCGCAUGAGACCAUGGACUGGGAUGUUUAUGGUGAAAGCUGGGGACCGCAAGGCCUAGCGCAAGAAGAGGAUCCUGCGUCUGAUUAGCUAGUUGGCGGGGUAAUGGCCCACCAAGGCGACGAUCAGUAGCCGGCCUGAGAGGGUGAUCGGCCACACUGGAACUGAGACACGGUCCAGACUCCUACGGGAGGCAGCAGUGGGGGAAUUUUGCGCAAUGGACGAAAGUCUGACGCAGCAACGCCGCGUGGGUGAUGAAGGUCUUCGGAUCGUAAAACCCUGUCGUCAGGGACGAAGUGAGUGACGGUACCUGGAGAAGAAGCAUCGGGCUAACUACGUGCCAGCAGCCGCGGUAAU